GCCUGAGUAGCUCAAUUGGUAGAGCUUUAGUCUUGUAAACUAAUGGUUGUGGGUUCAAGUCUCACCUCUGGCA
Molecule: transfer RNA, 73 nt
Filed under: Sphingobacteriaceae bacterium
Lineage: Bacteria; Pseudomonadati; Bacteroidota; Sphingobacteriia; Sphingobacteriales; Sphingobacteriaceae
Description: tRNA-Thr
Rfam family: tRNA
About the family: Transfer RNA (tRNA) molecules are approximately 80 nucleotides in length. Their secondary structure includes four short double-helical elements and three loops (D, anti-codon, and T loops).
Source: RNAcentral